This is a long non-coding RNA of Dreissena polymorpha, 1092 nucleotides long. RefSeq lists it as uncharacterized. The transcript is spliced from 2 exons. The record is from RefSeq and is a predicted model, not a curated record. NCBI's taxonomy places the organism in Eukaryota, Metazoa, Mollusca, Bivalvia, Myida, Dreissenidae.
ACUAACUCCUUUUUACCAGGCUAGUUGGUAGUCUUCCAAUUUUCAUAGACUUUAAAUUGAUUUGAUAUACCUUGAGUGUCAGGCAUCGGGCAAAGUCCUUAUUUGGCUGAAUGGACGCCUUGUCUGAUUAGGUUGAAAUAUUGUGAGACAUUCGGUCAAUCUGUUUGACACUCACACUUGUAACAUUAGCAACCCCAGCUAAUCUCCGAUAAUCCCACAUUUUAUCUGGAAAACUGUGAAAAGUCUACACCGCCUGUGGCAUUUUGGGGAUUAAAAUUACAUUUGUAGAUGAAUAUUUUUAUAAUUGGUCUCAUUUUAAAGCUAAUAAAAUUCUCUACAAAAUGCAUGUUUUACUUUUGUAUUUUACCCACUAUAACCCAGUUUUAUCUGUUAAUAAACAAUAAAUAUUAUGGUUUUUCGCUGUUGCGCGUGAUUAUCAACUUUCAUGCACUCGGCGCGUGGCACAUGUACUCUUUGUUCCUAUUCGCGGGUGACUUAAACUUUAUGAAUAUUAAUGAGAUGGACGACUCCAUUUAGAAAAGUUCACGACCUCCAUUCAUGACUUUGAUGCAAAUUUUUAAGUUCAUCCGAACCGAAGAUAUAGUCCCCUAAAGUGUCGCCGAUUUUUUACAAAAAGUACUGAUUUCCGAACUAUGCAUCAUAUAUCAUAUUGUAGGGAAUGUUCUGAAGUUUAAUUUGAUAUAAAAAUCUUUUGUCGGAAACAAUAGGAACCCUCCCGCAUUUUAAGCCGAACGUAGUAAUUUAUUCAAAUUUACUCCGGUCACGCGGCGACCUCGCUUUUCACCUUUGACCGCCAUUUUGAUUAACUGAUUACGCAUCGUAAACACGUUUUUCUAUCGACGAUUUUGAGCAUGUUACCGAUAGAAAACAUCUUCAUGUGGUUCAACUUUAUUAUAAAUACAAAGUAGAUCUAGGAAGUCAAUGGCAGACUACCCAGGACCAUUCUGUCAUGAAAAUGGUAUAACAACCUCUCUUUAGAAGAAGGCAGAAACCUUGUAGCCUAUAAACAGGCAGAAGAAUGGACUCAUUCUUGAAAUAAAUACUUUUAUAGAAAAAAUGGGGAAAUUUCAA